Molecule: ribosomal RNA, 507 nt
Filed under: uncultured bacterium
Lineage: Bacteria
Description: partial 16S ribosomal RNA
Source: RNAcentral
GGAGUUAGCCGGUGCUUCUUCUGUGAGUGAUGUCCUUCCUGCCGGCUAUUAACCCGCAGGCCUUCUUCCUCACUGAAAGUGCUUUACAACCCGAAGGCCUUCUUCACACACGCGGCAUGGCUGGAUCAGGGUUGCCCCCAUUGUCCAAUAUUCCCCACUGCUGCCUCCCGUAGGAGUCUGGGCCGUGUCUCAGUCCCAGUGUGGCUGAUCAUCCUCUCAGACCAGCUACGGAUCGUCGCCUUGGUGAGCCGUUACCUCACCAACCAGCUAAUCCGACAUAGGCUCAUCCGAUAGCGCGAGGCCCGAAGGUCCCCCGCUUUCCCCCGUAGGGCGUAUGCGGUAUUAGCCCGGGUUUCCCCAGGUUAUCCCCCACUACCGGGCAGAUUCCUAUGCAUUACUCACCCGUCCGCCGCUCGCCACCAGGGAGCAAGCUCCCCGUGCUGCCGCUCGACUUGCAUGUGUUAGGCCUGCCGCCAGCGUUCAAUCUGAGCCAUAAUCAAACUCUGA